CAGUCGCCACGGUAAAACGAAGGGGGCUAGCGUUGUUCGGAUUUACUGGGCGUAAAGCGCACGUAGGCGGAUAUUUAAGUCAGGGGUGAAAUCCUGGAGCUCAACUCCAGAACUGCCUUUGAUACUGGGUAUCUAGAGUCCGGAAGAGGUGAGUGGAACUCCUAGUGUAGAGGUGGAAUUCGUAGAUAUUAGGAAGAACACCAGUGGCGAAGGCGGCUCACUGGUCCGGUACUGACGCUGAGGUGCGAAAGCGUGGGGAGCAAACAGGAUUAGAUACCCGAGUAGUCCCUGUCUCUUAUAC
Molecule: ribosomal RNA, 301 nt
Filed under: uncultured bacterium
Lineage: Bacteria
Description: partial 16S ribosomal RNA
Rfam family: Bacterial small subunit ribosomal RNA
Source: RNAcentral